CCUACGGGAGGCAGCAGUGAGGAAUAUUGGUCAAUGGGCGCAAGCCUGAACCAGCCAAGUAGCGUGAAGGAUGACGGCCCUAUGAGUUGUAAACUUCUUUUGUAUGGGAAUAAAGUUCAGUAUGUAUACUGCUUUGCAUGUACCUUAUGAAUAAGGAUCGGCUAACUCCGUGCCAGCAGCCGCGGUAAUACGGAGGAUCCGAGCGUUAUCCGGAUUUAUUGGGUUUAAAGGGAGCGUAGGCGGGUGGUUAAGUGAGUUGUGAAAUGUUGGGGCUCAACCGUGAAAUUGCAGUUGAUACUGGCAGCCUUGAGUACAGAAGAGGUAGGCGGAAUGCGUGGUGUAGCGGUGAAAUGCUUAGAUAUCACGAAGAACACCGAUUGCGAAGGCAGCCUGCUGGACUGUAACUGACGCUGAUGCUCGAAAGUGUGGGUAUCAAACAGGAUUAGAUACCCGAGUAGUC
This 460-nucleotide ribosomal RNA is filed under the name uncultured bacterium. RNAcentral describes it as "partial 16S ribosomal RNA". It matches the Rfam family "Bacterial small subunit ribosomal RNA", at positions 338 to 795 of the family's 1533-position model. The record is from RNAcentral.